Molecule: long non-coding RNA, 154 nt
Organism: Sphaeramia orbicularis (orbiculate cardinalfish)
Lineage: Eukaryota; Metazoa; Chordata; Actinopteri; Kurtiformes; Apogonidae
Exons: 3
Source: RefSeq, a predicted model, not a curated record
GAGGAGGAGAGGAAAUGAUGCUAAUGUUGAUAUUGAUGAGGGUAGUUGUCAUAAAUAAUUCAGUAGUUUUUCUCGAGCUCACACAGUCGCUCUCUGAAAAGAUCCGCUACCACCACAGUUCCUGGUGGUACUGCUCCAAAUUGUCCAUCUGGGU